Long non-coding RNA from Suncus etruscus (white-toothed pygmy shrew), 126 nucleotides. RefSeq lists it as uncharacterized. The transcript has 2 exons. The record is from RefSeq and is a predicted model, not a curated record. Lineage: Eukaryota; Metazoa; Chordata; Mammalia; Eulipotyphla; Soricidae.
CACAGCAGUGUUUGCCUUGCAAGCAGCCGAUCCAGGACCAAAGGUGGUUGGUUCGAAUCCCAGUGUCCCAUAUGGUCCCCCGUACCUGCCAGGAGCUAUUUCUGAGCAGACAGCCAGGAGUAACCC